Clupea harengus (Atlantic herring) is the source of this 1388-nucleotide long non-coding RNA. NCBI's taxonomy places the organism in Eukaryota, Metazoa, Chordata, Actinopteri, Clupeiformes, Clupeidae. The record is from Ensembl.
CCGUCUGCUUCAUGCCCUCUGGCAUGCAGGCUCUGGCCUGCUCAUAGAGGUGAUGACCCCUAAUGGACGCUAAAAUCCUCUCCUCUCUGUCUCUGUCUGUCCGGAAGGUCUGAGACAUGUACCUAUACACAUAUAAACACACAAUUACACAGAAAAUGACCAACAAUACUACUAUAUACUAUACUACUAUAACUAAGAUACAUAGAGGACCACUAUUGUUCUGUAUAUCAUUUUGUCACUGAAUAGGAUGUUUUAUCACAAAUGAACAGAUUAACCAAUGGUACCUCUACAUUUUAUGUAUGAAUGCUACUUUAUCACCAGAUGCAGGAGUAACAGUGUGUAACAGUACAAAAAAUUGUUUUUCUUUGAAUUGUCGGUACAGUCGGGGGGUCACAGUAAUACUUUGCCAUGUGUAGUAAACAGAGGUUGUUGUAGUCGUCUGAUGUCAUGUGGUUUUCCUGAAGAAUGGAGAUAACUUCUUGCUUCCCUGCUUCCCCCUGCCGAUGGUAGCGGAGGUAGCGCUUCUUCCAUUGACAAAACUGUGUAAUAGAUCACAGAUUAAAAGGCCAAAGAUGUAAACUAAAAUUAAAGGAGGAGUGGAUGUAUUUCCUUUUGAGUGUGUGUGACUGUUUGUGGGGUCAGUUAACAUGUGUCAGUCAGUGUUCCUACUCAUACCCCAUCAUCAGAUUGGGCAUCGAUACCUCCAUACCGAGUUGGAGGACUUUGAGGUGGAGGUGGAUAUGCGGGCAUUCCUUCUUAACACAUAUAACAGAGAUAUAAAUAUAUAUAUAUAAACACAUACAUACAUUUAUUAAACCACCUGAUAACAUCAUCCAUCUGAAUCUCUCUGAUGAACGUUUUUUGGCCUUCCUAAAUGUUUUUCUAGUUCUAGUAAUUAUAGUAAUUCAGGGCCUGACACAAUCCUACUGUAUUGAUCAGACGUAGCAUACUGUCACUGAAAUCACUAUGAGGCUAUAGUAUCGGUUUCAGAGAAUCGAAACUCGGAGCAAGCACAAUGGCGACAAAAAAAUUCAGGUCAGCUGACCACCAAAAUGCAAAUUACUUACGGGCUGUUCCAACUGAGGCUCUACGUCUCUUCUUUUUCCGAGUUGUGUCCGGAGGACUAGGGCUUCGAUUUCCUCGUGAUCUCUUGCGAUUUUCGGACAUUCCUUCUAAACACCUUAUCUUUCCAAAGCCAAGUCAACGAUUCGGUAGCCUACGUAGUCGGUUGAAGUUUUUUUCUAAAUUCUGGUCCGUAAGCCCGCCGCUACCGCAUAACCUCAAAAAUCAAAGAUCGACACAGUAGUAUCGUCUUUGUCAGACGUGAUACGGUUACUGACAUCACUGGGGCUGUAGUUUCGGUUUCAGAGAAUCGAAAUUUAGAGCGG